GCAAUUCCUUCUCCUUGGGUUUGUUUUGGAGCCUGAGUGGGGAGCGUGUCUACCUGAGUCGCCUUGGGCAUGCUCUCUCCUGUCUUCACAUGUGAUGUAGGAACAGUGAAAGACCUUAGCUCAUGGGAAGGCUGGGAAAAUCCGAGCAUCAAACAUGAUGAGAGCGAUAACCACCAGGAUGGUGAUGACGACAACAACGAUGACGGUGGUGAUGAUGACUACGAUGACGACUACGACGACGAUGACGAUGAUGGUAGUAGUGCUGGCAACAGCCCUUUUCAAAUGACCCUUGGACCAGCUCUGACCAAGCCUGGGUUGUACUGUCAUCCUUCCUGCCCACCUGCAGGAGGCAUAGUGGAUCAUGGGAAGGUGUUUGGCUGGAACUGAGGCAAUGGAAGCUUUUUUUUUCCUUUUCUUUACACCGGAGGAGCUGGAGAGUUCAAAUACGUUGUAAAAAAUUAAAACAUCGAUUCUUUUAGUAAUUAGAACUAAUUACAAACGAAUCCCCCACACCCUGGCAAUCUCAUUUUCUUCUUCGUAGGGAAGCUGGAUUCAGAUGUGUAAGAGGUUAAAUUAUUGAUUCUGAUCCCCCCGCACCCCCCCCCCGCACCCCUCCCUGUAGUACCUAGCACUGUCUGCGCCUGCCCUUGCCACCAACGUUGGUCAUGCCACUGGCUUUGUGGUGGGCAGGAAAAAUUUCAGACCGGAUAACCAGUGUCACCAAAGGGAAGUUUUCAAGGAAUGGCGCCAACAGAGGCUGCAUGUGGGGAUGUGUCCUUAUGCUGCAGGGCUUGUUCCUGGUGCUUGCAGACAGCAGAUGAGAGGCUGCAGGCAAUGAGAUGCUGCAGGGCUAGCUCAGGAAUGAGCUGUACGGGGUGGGGCUGGCCAUGUCACCCGCACACCAAGGAGAAAUGAAGGGCUCUGGAGGCCUCCGAAAUUUUGUGUUUAUCAUGUGGCAGGCAAUAGUGGAGGACUCUAAACUUGUGUGUUUGUGUGUGUGUGUGUUCCUUUCUGACCUCGAACGCAUGCACAAACAAAGCAAAUUCCAUGAGGCUGUCAUACGUACUAGCCUACAAUUGAUAAUACCUACUCUAAAUAUUGUAUAAAAUUAUGAGUGUCUGUUCAUGUCUUAGUCCUACCCUAACUUCUGAAUUUGGGGUUUUGGCUGUCCUGUAACUCACUAUGUAGACUACAGUGGCCUAGAACUCACAGAGAUCCUUCUGCCCCUGUUUUCCAAGUGUUGGGAUUAAAGGUGUAUGCCAUUA
Molecule: long non-coding RNA, 1265 nt
Filed under: Mus spicilegus (steppe mouse)
Lineage: Eukaryota; Metazoa; Chordata; Mammalia; Rodentia; Muridae
Description: lncRNA (ENSMSIG00000016712.1)
Source: RNAcentral